CCCAAGGUGUUUCUGAACACCAUUUAAAAAACUACUAAAAUGGAUA
Molecule: non-coding RNA, 46 nt
Organism: Cariama cristata (Red-legged seriema)
Lineage: Eukaryota; Metazoa; Chordata; Aves; Cariamiformes; Cariamidae
Source: Rfam